UUCAAAUUAUUAGUUUCUUUCCUUCUUCAUAUGAGCUAAUACAAUGAUACUGUAGACUUUUUUGUAUGUGUGUAUGUUUUUUCUUCUUCUUUUAGGUUGCUUUAGCAUUGAUUAUUCAUGGAAGAACAUGAUUUAUCCCUGUCUUCAAAUACAUGUUCUAUCUCUGGUUCGACCCCACCUGAAACUUCCACACUUAUUCUAUCAUUUGGAAGCGCCAGCACAUCAUGAUGCAGACCUACGUUUUGGAAAAUAAAGAAGCACGGAUCUACGGAAGAUUUCUCAAGCCUUCCUUACAUUUGCACAUUGCUUAAUUGAUCCUUAUGGACUUACUAUGGAAUCAUAGAGGCUAGAGAGUACCUCGUGGCUACUGUCGAUGGCUUUGGCAUUGUGGUGGAGACAAUCAAUGUUAUUCUAUUUCUCAUAUAUGCUCCAAAAGGGAUAAGGGGUAGAACUCUCAUUUUGGCUGUGAUUUUGGAUGUGGCAAUUUCGGUAGUAGCAGUAGGUACUACUCAAUUAGCAUUGCAAAGAGAAGCUUGUGGUGGUGUUGUUCGUGUUAUGGGAGCAGGGUUAAACAUUGUUAUGUAUUUCUCACCUCUCUCUGCCAUGGUUCUGCACAUUCUUCCAUGUUUUAGUUGGAUAUAUUGGUUCUGCAUGGUUUCUUUCACGUUAGAGGAUGGCUGAUGGAAUCCAUAAAGAUCUUUGUUGCUUUGCGUCUCGGGUAUCUCUGAGCCUUAUACGAGAACAUAUACAACAUAUACAGUAAGAUAUAAUAGACGCUACCAACAUAUGUAAGAUUUCAAAGGAGACAAUAAGGUUGCCACUUCUUUUUUCUAUCUAUCCCACCUUGACUGAUUUUGGUAACGGAUCCAAAAGCUUUGAGAUUAGGAUUUGAUGUGAAUUUGAUAGCUAUUGCAUUGCCAGCAAUUUUUGGUGUAUCCUUUCAAAUUAUUGUUCAUAUAUGGGUCAUGAGCAAGAAGGGCCCUCUCUAUGUUGCAAUGUUUAAGCCAAUUGGACUCAUCUUUGCAGUCAUCAUGGGAAUUGGCUUUCUUGGUGGCUCUAUCUAUCUUGGAAGUGUGCUUGGAGCAGCCAUAGCGGUUAUUGGUUUUUAUGCUAUUAUUUGGGGGAAAAGCCAAGAACAAGCAAAGGAAGAGUGUGAAGUCUAUGAUGACUCAGAAUCAUACUCGCUGUUGUCCCUCUUUUGGAGAACAAGAGAAUGGAGGAAUAGAAUCAUAGCAAUCAUUUAAUUUCUCUAGCUUCAAUAUAAAUGUCUCAUGUAAUAUUUGAAAACAGAUUGCAUUAAUAAAAAAAAUUAGUCAUAGUUCGAUUGA
Molecule: long non-coding RNA, 1328 nt
Organism: Glycine soja
Lineage: Eukaryota; Viridiplantae; Streptophyta; Magnoliopsida; Fabales; Fabaceae
Exons: 7
Source: RefSeq, a predicted model, not a curated record